Molecule: ribosomal RNA, 497 nt
Filed under: uncultured bacterium
Lineage: Bacteria
Description: partial 16S ribosomal RNA
Rfam family: Bacterial small subunit ribosomal RNA
Source: RNAcentral
GAUGAACGCUGGCGGCGUGCCUAAUACAUGCAAGUCGAGCGAACAGACGAGGAGCUUGCUCCUCUGACGUUAGCGGCGGACGGGUGAGUAACACGUGGAUAACCUACCUAUAAGACUGGGAUAACUUCGGGAAACCGGAGCUUAUACCGGAUAAUAUAUUGAACCGCAUGGUUCAAUAGUGAAAGACGGUUUUGCUGUCACUUAUAGAUGGAUCCGCGCCGCAUUAGCUGGUUGGUAAGGUAACGGCUUAUCAAGGCAACGAUGCGUAGCCGACCUGAGAGGGUGAUCGGCCACACGGGAACUGAGACACGGUCCAGACUCCUACGGGAGGCAGCAGUCGGGAAUCUUACGCAAUGGGCGAAAGCCUGACGGAGCAACGCCGCGUGAGUGAUGAAGGUCUUCGGAGCGUAAAACUCUGUUAUUAGGGAAGAACAAAUGUGUAAGUAAAUAUGCACGUAUUGACGGUACCUAAUCAGAAAGCAACGGCUAACUACGUG